Symphalangus syndactylus (siamang) is the source of this 379-nucleotide long non-coding RNA. RefSeq lists it as uncharacterized. NCBI's taxonomy places the organism in Eukaryota, Metazoa, Chordata, Mammalia, Primates, Hylobatidae. The record is from RefSeq and is a predicted model, not a curated record.
UCAUCUCUCUUCUCUGUGGGAUCCAAGAGACAGUCCCGUGAUCCUAAGAGAGGGCAGACAUGAACCAGCCUGAAGAAACAUCAAAUGGAGCUCCAGGAAUAAACCACAAAAUUUCUGAGAAGCUAAAAUCAUCAAUGGGAUUCCUCAGGCUUGUGUAGACAUUGUGGGGUUGAGCAGGUGCUUUACGUCGUGAGUGGGCACUACUUCGUCAUCUUGGCAUUUCAUCCUGGGACAUUGAGUGUGAGCAGCAAAUAAGUCACAGAAAGGAUAGUCCCAGGAUCCUAGGAGAAGGUAGACAUGACCCACCCUGAAGAAACAUCAAGCAGAGCCCCAGGAAUAAACCACAAAAUCCCUAAGUAUCCAAAAGGAUCUGCUGGAU